UGUAAUAACCUUGCCAAGGAGCAACAUUUUUGCCUACUUCUCUGUGCUAUUCCUUGUGUUCUUUGGGUUUUCCAAGAAAGACUGAGUAUAUAAACACAGCUUUGAUUCCAUUCACCUCCAGCUCAGCACCUUAGGACCUAAUCUUUGCCUACACUACAGCCGGCAACAGCACCAAUAUGUACAUACUGAUAAACAAACCCUGCUGAGGAAAAAGAAAAUUUUUGUUUAUUGGUUUUGAACUGCAAAAACAAAUUCAACCAGUUUAUAUUUGCUAGAUAAAAUAUGUCAUUUAAAGAUGUUAAUAUGAAGAUUAAAAUCAUUUUCUGGGGGGAGGAAAACUUUAUUGUAAUUUUUAUUUUCUACUUUAAAGCCAAAAUAUCAACUAACUUUUGCAGGAAGUUUUCUGCUUCUGUGUUACUCCCAGGAGAAUGUCACCUUUGCCCUCCAAAGUGCUAUUCCUUUUAUUCCACUUGGAUAACCAUCAUACUCAUAAACCCCGAUGGAACCAGUUAUAAACACCUGUGCUGCCACACAGUGAAAUAUGAGGAAAAUUCUAGGAGAAAGCCCAAAUGGAACCUGCUUAAGAACAAACAAAUAAAAGGAUUUGUUCUGAAAUAUACUCCAGCUCUGGCAUAAUUAGCUAAUUAAUCCACAGCCAGUAUAAUUAUCUACUAUGAGAGAGCCUGGAUGGGGAAAACAAAGCAGAAAGGUGAAACAAACAACAAUAUUGUGUUUCAUUGGUGAAAACAAAGCAAAACAAAACAAAAACAACAGUAAAACGCUUCAAUUAGGCAGAGUUUGUGUAGCACAAGGUCUAGCCACCUCUUCAUCCCACUCCAUCCUGCUGUUGUUCAAAGACACAAUACUGAGCAUACUGUGACUCUUCCUUUUGUUGGCACUUUUCACAGGCAUGAAUCCCACUCCCAGUGUUUAUUCCAUCCUUCCCCUUGCAAGCAGUCUUUUACCUCUUAAGGUGUUACUAUCCUGAGAGAAAGAAAUAUAAUUUAAACUGCUAGAUAUACAUAUAGCCUUGAGUCCAAGAUAUGCUUCAUCUCCCUAAGCAAAUUGCACAAGUGCCAAGCAUGUGCAUGAAGUGCAUUUGCACAAUUUUUGUCUAGUAGAUAGAUUGAUAGAUUGUGGCUUUGCUAGUGCCACUGAGGAUGCUGGAGGCUUGCCUGAUACUACCCAGAGAUGAGGCUGCCACUGCCCUUUACUUGUCCAGCAGCCUGGUGACAGCAGCCAUCCUAGCCACUAUAAGGCCCUGGACAGGAUAAGCCAGGGUCUGAAGUUGAUUUUUUCCAUGGUGGCCAUUCCUCCUUCCUCUAGCUCAGAGAAGGGCACUGUCACACAGGCACCCAAAACAGCAACCAGAGGAGGCUGAAGUAGAGGACAGAAGCAGGGGCCCCAUCAGCUCCCAUCCCUGCUCAGCUCAGGUAAGCAACUGUCCCUCUUUUAAUGGUGAAAGGGAAGAAGCAUGAAGAGAAGGGCUCAUUUAAAGCCUAUUACCUUCAUCCUUCCUCACCUCUGCCAUUGCCAAACCUUGGCAGCAGUGCCUACAUCCACCCCCAAGGGAGAGAAGAGUGAGCACUACAGUAGUGACCCAUCUUUGCCACGGAGUAAUCAAAGUGACAUUCUGCCUCAGCAUACUCAAAUUAGCAGGAUUGGACACUGCUGUCUCAACUCUGUUUGCAGCACAACGUGGCUCAGAUCACAGCGAUCACUGCCAUGCAUCCUUCUCUUUUUGCAGCAGUUUUCUGGAGGAGAGACACAGACAUCCCCCACCCUCCCAGCACUGGCAGAAGGACUGAUUCGUCAAGCCCAACUCUCUGAGGCAAUCUGCCAGACGACAGAGUUGCUGGUGGGGUGCCUCGAUGCUGUCAGUUGCCCAUAUGUCUAUUGGGCAGCUACUGCUUGUGCGAACCCCACUCUGAGAAAAAAUCAGAGCAUGGUUUGGGAUGUCUAUAUACGAACUAAUUUCAUAAUCCAAGAUAGUUAAAUGAAAAAAUGGAUAAUUAAAAAUAUAUAUAAAAAUGAGGGGUUGAGCAAACAGCUCAUUUAUUUGCUUUCUUGUCAAAACAAAGUAAAUUAUGAGGUAAUAAAUAUAUUACAAAAUUUAAGCCUGGGUAAAUUUGAAGUAAUGCAAGGGGAAGGGAGGGAGAACAGAUGGGCAGAUUCAGCACAAAUUCACACCUUGUGCUGGCUGACUCAAACUGUUCAUCUCUGCAGAUAAACUAAUCUGUAAACCAGGAGCAGCUGAGCAAAAGGGAGCUUAUGAGGUAGCCUUACAGUGCUGUCUACAGGGUCUUUCCAACCACUCUAAAGCGGAGCUGUGAGUAAGCUCUUUCUCAUCCAAGGGUAUCAGGCUUUGUAUGCCUCCCUAUGUCUUGUCCAGCAUCCACAUAGCCCACUUCAUUGUCAUUGGCACACAGCUGAUCUUGCUUCCACUUCACAACAAGCUCUGCCAAAGGCUGAAGCUAAUUCUGAUGUCCUUUCUGGGCAGCAUCGCUUUGUGUGAUUCUUGUUAAGUGCUCUGGGACCUAAUAUAAUCAUACUGUGGCUCUGAGACAUCAGCAGGGCUGUGACAAUGGGACAGAUCAGCCUGCUCUCUGGACUUUUUCUCUGGCUAUGAAAAUCAGAACAUUUAAUUUUAAACAUAAAAAUAUCUUGAUUGUGUGAUAGUCUGAAGGUUUCUAUAGUUUGCAGCACCAGCCUGUUAUCCUCAGCCACAACUGGAGUACCUUUGUGCUUGGCACUGUUACAGAUCAUUAAGAUUACAGGGUAGAUGCCUGUACUGCUCUCUUAUUAGACUGUGAAACGAGACACAUUUUGGGGAAAAGAGUAAUAUGACAACGAAAUAACCUAUAUUAUGUUUUCAAAGACAUCCAUUACCUCACAUUUUCUUUCUUCACCAUCAAAAAUUUGAGUUACCUUCUUGCUGUGUGCUUUUAAGAACAAAAAAGAAUAAAUGAUUCCCUUGUAGUACAAGCCUUCAUUGAAAAUCUACAAGUAGAACACUCAAAACUUUACUUGGAAUAUGAACCUGAUUUCUGCCUCAAGUCUUAAGAUUCUUAGCUUGUCUGAAAUCCUUCUCUUUCAUCCUUUCCUGACCAGAGCAUUACCACAAAGACUACUAAAUGCAACCACGUCACUUACAGCUUCAAAAUAAGUUUAAAUGAGAAACAAAUUUUAUAUUCACUUUGUACUGGAUGGCCUGAACCUGAACAGAGUGAAUUUUCUUCACUCAGAGUGCAUAUAUUUUGCCCAGAAAAUUUGUCUACUAGGGGGAAAUCCAAAAUUAACCAGACUUGUAAGAUCUAAAGGUAAUGAAGAAUUACUAUAUCAUUUACUCAGUCUACUGUAUUCCUAUUUUCCUUUAUUUUUUUUUUCCAGUGGUGUAUCUUACUGAGUUUUAGACUUCUCAAAAAUAAGUCUUCAGUCAUUCCUCUAAGGAAGUAAGCUGAAUCAUUGUUAUCGUAAGUUUAGGUUAAUUAGUGCAUUCAUACAAAAAGCUACAGUUUUUCUGAAAACAAACUGGGUGUGCAAGCUGAAAGCCUGGUGUGUAAGAGAGAGGUUAUAACAGGAAAUUCAGAAUAAAGAAUUAAAUAGCUGAGUCUACAGCUACAGUAGUGAUACAAAGCUAGGCUGCUCUAUAAUAUGCAUGCACAACAUUUUAUGUCAAUAUACUCUGAAGAUAUCUGGUCAGGUAGACAUGGGAUGAUGUUACAUGAAACUCCUCUCACCUCUGCAGGCUAUAAGAUCCCUGAGGAAAGACACCUCUUAUUUGUCUGUCUUUGUUUGUUUGGUGUCUACUGCCAUAAGCAUCUGUUCUUUACACAGUCCUACAAUUAAUUAUAGGUCAUGAGACUCAAGACAACCUUAGUACCCCUUGGCUAAGAGGCAUCCUGUGUGCUGGCUAGCAGAUACCAUUUAGUCUUUUGAUUUCUGUGAAGAAUGCUAGGUCUACCCAAAGAUUUUUUUUAUUUUAUUUUUUUUAAAUCUGUGCAUUUAUGUUCCUUGUGUUCCUCUCUUCAAAUAAAAACUUAUCCUUACUGGAAGUGGCAUUUUCUAUCAAUUAAUGAUGGUUAAAAAAAAAGAAAAAAAAAAAAAAAGAAAAAAGAAAAAAAAAGAAAAAAGACACUGGUCCUAUUUUUCUCCUCUUCAAAGACAGACUUAACUGAAACAAAUUUUUUAAACCUGAGUUCUUCUUGUUUUCUUGAAAGACUGUCCUGGAGGGUCAAUCUUCCUCUCAGGGUGUAUUUAAUGAGGAUGGGAUGGCAAGGCAGCAAGUGCAACCAUCCUGCACUCACCAGCCCAGAUCCAACCUCUUCCCUGGGGGCAGGCAGAGGGUGUCUGCCACAGUGUUCUCAGUGAGGAACAAAUCUGGAAAGUACUUGGUGAAAGGCAGUCAAAUAUUCUUCUAAAGAGUGUCUGUAUAGUCCAAACUCUCUCAGAGCCUCAUUUUCAUUAUGCCUUUAUGAGCCCCAUCUUGUCAUCAGACUCCAUUGUUUUUAUGGAAUCUUUUCUGUUUGGAGAUAGAAGAUGUGAAGAACAAAGGAAAUGUCUGUACUAUCCUUAAGAAUCCUGGGUAUUGAGGUGAGAGAGCAAGUUUUCAAAUACAGAUUUAGUAAGACUGGGAGUAGUUGUUAGAGUCUUUUUUUUUUUUUUUUAAUUUUAAUUUUUUUUUUCAAGGUUUCCUAAAGUGACCCAGAUGUCUGCAGUUGUAACCCAAGCUGAGGAAGCAAUUAGAAGGGUGGUUCUCUGGCCCCACCUGGAACUCAGUGGAUCAGCACUGGAAAGACAGGUGCAUUGUGAACCUGCUGCAGGCACCAUCUGCAGAAGUUAGACUCAGACAUCAGAUGGAGCAUUUUGCAUACAUAAGCAUACAUUACGUAUACAAGCUAUGGAGGAAAUGAAGCCUCAUUCUUUGCACUAUUCCUUUAAGGAGAGGAGACCCCUCUGAUGCGCACUUACAUGCUCUACUGUUAGAGCCUUGAUCUAAGACUGAUACUACUGAAGAUGUUUUUCCCCAGUCAAACAGAUUUAUAACAUAUAUUUAGCAACAGUAACAACAUUAAGAAUGCUGUAUUUUCCCAAAUUGUGACAUUAAGAGGGGAAAUUAUCAUUUGAAGUGCAAGGAAGGACUUUAUUAGGAAUGCAUUGAAAGCUAAAUCAGGACUACUCCCAGCUGUGUUUCUGGAGAGAUGUUGUUUCUUCCACUACCUUACCAAUUUACCUUGAGCAAGCUAUUUAACCUCCUUCUUUCUACCUCUUCCUCUCUAGAAAACAAAACUAAUCCUAAACCACAAGAUUUUCAGGCUCAACCAAAGCCCAGCAAAGUCAGUGGUGGUUACUAAUUCCUGAGGACUUUGAGUCAAGCCUUCAGUCAAAUAUUUAAGUAGUUAAUAUUUUUAACUAUCAUACUAACUGUUAUUACUUUUCAUGACUAUGAAUGAUAUGGGAAGUUGUUACUGUUAAGUAGUCAGAAGCUGACAACAUUUUUUUUUUCUGCACAGAGUAGCACAUGAAUUGCUAUAAAUCUGUCCUAGAUUUAAAAUAGCAAAGAUAGUGGUAGCUGAGCAGCCGUAUGCUGGCUUGUUAAUAUUCAUGAAUGCUAUGAAUCUGAAUACAUUAAAACUUUUCAUUUAGACAUCAAAA
Anas platyrhynchos (mallard) is the source of this 5655-nucleotide non-coding RNA. NCBI's taxonomy places the organism in Eukaryota, Metazoa, Chordata, Aves, Anseriformes, Anatidae. The record is from RefSeq and is a predicted model, not a curated record.